Molecule: ribosomal RNA, 430 nt
Filed under: uncultured bacterium
Lineage: Bacteria
Description: bacterial SSU rRNA
Rfam family: Bacterial small subunit ribosomal RNA
Source: RNAcentral
GUGGGGAAUUUUGGACAAUGGGCGAAAGCCUGAUCCAGCAAUGCCGCGUGAGUGAAGAAGGCCUUCGGGUUGUAAAGCUCUUUUGUCAGGGAAGAAACGGUUUGGGCUAAUACCCUGAGCUAAUGACGGUACCUGAAGAAUAAGCACCGGCUAACUACGUGCCAGCAGCCGCGGUAAUACGUAGGGUGCAAGCGUUAAUCGGAAUUACUGGGCGUAAAGCGUGCGCAGGCGGUUUUGUAAGUCUGACGUGAAAUCCCCGGGCUCAACCUGGGAAUUGCGUUGGAGACUGCAAGGCUAGAAUCUGGCAGAGGGGGGUAGAAUUCCACGUGUAGCAGUGAAAUGCGUAGAGAUGUGGAGGAACACCGAUGGCGAAGGCAGCCCCCUGGGUCAAGAUUGACGCUCAUGCACGAAAGCGUGGGGAGCAAACAGG